RNAcentral lists this transfer RNA (57 nucleotides) under Ovis aries (sheep). Lineage: Eukaryota; Metazoa; Chordata; Mammalia; Artiodactyla; Bovidae. The record is from Rfam by way of RNAcentral.
UGGUCCAGUGGCUAGGACUCUGCACUCUCAAUUCAGGGGACCAGGUUUGACUCCUGG